Molecule: ribosomal RNA, 556 nt
Filed under: uncultured bacterium
Lineage: Bacteria
Description: partial 16S ribosomal RNA
Rfam family: Bacterial small subunit ribosomal RNA
Source: RNAcentral
UGGGGAAUAUUGGACAAUGGGCGCAAGCCUGAUCCAGCCAUGCCGCGUGAGUGAUGAAGGCCCUUAGGGUUGUAAAGCUCUUUCGCCGGUGAAGAUAAUGACGGUAACCGGAGAAGAAGCCCCGGCUAACUUCGUGCCAGCAGCCGCGGUAAUACGAAGGGGGCUAGCGUUGCUCGGAAUCACUGGGCGUAAAGCGCACGUAGGCGGAUCGUUAAGUCAGGGGUGAAAUCCUGGAGCUCAACUCCAGAACUGCCCUUGAUACUGGCGAUCUCGAGUUCGAGAGAGGUUGGUGGAACUCCGAGUGUAGAGGUGAAAUUCGUAGAUAUUCGGAAGAACACCAGUGGCGAAGGCGGCCAACUGGCUCGAUACUGACGCUGAGGUGCGAAAGCGUGGGGAGCAAAACAGGAUUAGAUACCCUGGUAGUCCACGCCGUAAACGAUGGAUGCUAGCCGUUGGGGGGUUUACCUCUCAGUGGCGCAGCUAACGCCUUAAGCAUCCCGCCUGGGGAGUACGGUCGCAAGAUUAAAACUCAAAGGAAUUGACGGGGUCAUAGCUG